This is a non-coding RNA of Ictidomys tridecemlineatus (thirteen-lined ground squirrel), 70 nucleotides long. The record is from Rfam. Lineage: Eukaryota; Metazoa; Chordata; Mammalia; Rodentia; Sciuridae.
GGGGAUAUAGCUCAGUUGGUACAGUAUGUGCCUUGCAUGCACAAGACCCUGGGUUCAAUUCCCAGCACCA